This 1230-nucleotide ribosomal RNA is filed under the name metagenome. Its description in RNAcentral is "bacterial SSU rRNA". It matches the Rfam family "Bacterial small subunit ribosomal RNA", at positions 235 to 1434 of the family's 1533-position model. The record is from RNAcentral.
GGCCUAUCAGCUAGUUGGUAGGGUAACGGCCUACCAAGGCGUUUGACGGGUAGCCGGCCUGAGAGGGUGUUCGGCCACACUGGGACUGAGACACUGCCCAGACUCCUACGGGAGGCUGCAGUCGAGAAUCUUUAGCAAUGGGCGAAAGCCUGACUAAGCGACGCCGCGUGCAGGAUGAAGGUUUUCGGAUUGUAAACUGCUUUUGUCUGGAAAGAAAACUCUGUAUAAUAUAAAGAUACAGGGCUGACGGUACCAGACGAAUAAGCCACGGCCAACUCCGUGCCAGCAGCCGCGGUAAUACGGAGGUGGCGAGCGUUACUCGGAAUUAUUGGGUGUAAAGGGCAAGUAGGCGGCUUGUUAAGUGAGGGGUGAAAUCUCCCGACUCAAUCGGGAAACUGCCUUUCAAACUAACAGACUUGAGGUUGGAAGAGGGAAACGGAAUUAGCAGUGUAAGGGUGAAAUCUGUAGAUAUUGCUAAGAACACCAGCGGCGAAGGCGGUUUCCUGGUCCAAACCUGACGCUGAAUUGCGAAAGCUAGGGUAGCGAACAGAAUUAGAUACUCUGGUAGUCCUAGCUGUAAACGAUGAGCACUAGGUGUCGGUCCUUCGGGAUCGGUGCCGCAGCUAACGCAUUAAGUGCUCCACCUGGGGACUACGGCCGCAAGGCUAAAACUCAAAGGAAUUGACGGGGACCCGCACAAGCGGUGGAACAUGUGGUUUAAUUCGAUGCUACGCGAAAAACCUCACCAGGGCUUGACAUGUAUGCAGUAGUGAACCGAAAGGGGAACGAACCGUUAAGUCCGGAAACAUACACAGGUGCUGCAUGGCUGUCGUCAGCUCGUGUCGUGAGAUGUUGGGUUAAGUCCCGCAACGAGCGCAACCAUUGCCCUAUGUUGCCAACCCUGUAAUUAUCAUUCGUGAUAAACAGAGCGCACUCAUGGGGGACUGCCUGGGAUAACUAGGAGGAAGGUGGAGAUGACGUCAAGUCAGUACGGCCUUUAUGCCCUGGGCUACACACGUGUUACAAUGGCAGGUACAAAGGGUUGCCAACCCGUGAGGGGGAGCUAAUCUCAAAAAACCUGUCCCAGUUCGGAUUGGAGUCUGCAAUUCGACUCCAUGAAGUCGGAAUCGCUAGUAAUGGGAGAUCAGCAUGCUCCCGUGAAUACGUUCCCGGGUCUUGUACACACCGCCCGUCAAGCGAUGAAAGCUGGGGGUACCCGAAGUCCUGUGU